UGGGGAAUAUUGCGCAAUGGGGGGAACCCUGACGCAGCCAUGCCGCGUGAAUGAAGAAGGCCUUAGGGUUGUAAAGUUCUUUCGGUAUUGAGGAAGGUUGAUGUGUUAAUAGCACAUCAAAUUGACGUUAAAUACAGAAGAAGCACCGGCUAACUCCGUGCCAGCAGCCGCGGUAAUACGGAGGGUGCGAGCGUUAAUCGGAAUAACUGGGCGUAAAGGGCACGCAGGCGGUUAUUUAAGUGAGGUGUGAAAGCCCCGGGCUUAACCUGGGAAUUGCAUUUCAGACUGGGUAACUAGAGUACUUUAGGGAGGGGUAGAAUUCCACGUGUAGCGGUGAAAUGCGUAGAGAUGUGGAGGAAUACCGAAGGCGAAGGCAGCCCCUUGGGAAUGUACUGACGCUCAUGUGCGAAAGCGUGGGGAGCAAACAGGAUUAGAUACCCUGGUAGUCCACGCUGUAAACGCUGUCGAUUUGGGGGUUGGGGUUUAACUCUGGCGCCCGUAGCUAACGUGAUAAAUCAACCGCCUGGGGAGUACGGCCGCAAGGUUA
Molecule: ribosomal RNA, 547 nt
Filed under: uncultured bacterium
Lineage: Bacteria
Description: bacterial SSU rRNA
Rfam family: Bacterial small subunit ribosomal RNA
Source: RNAcentral